GUAUACUCGACCACCCGGCCACCUGUUUACUCGACCACCCGGCCACCUGUUUACUCGACCACUCGGCCACCUGUUUACUCAACCACCGUCCACCUACUUACUCGACCACCCGGCUAUCUGGCCACUACUAAUGCACCUCAAAGGCCACUUAACCAGUGUAAGUGUGAGCGUGUUGACCCCUGUUACUACGACUACUGCUGCUGGUGACGUAACCCCUCUACCGACACCACCACCACCACAACAACAAAUAUCUCCAGAUUUACGAAGAUUUUAAACACUGAUUUUGUCCUGAAAUGCAUCCAGAUAAGGUGAGCGAGUUUGUCGAAGGUUGGAUAUUUACUCGUUACGUGACGUCACACCUCAGCACACCUGUACCUCACACAUGACAGAAAUCAGCUGAUCACGAACCCACGAGCUGACGGGCGGACGACUCCAGCUGACCCAGACACGGAGGGUGCAGGGAGGUAACCUCAGCCUCAUUGGUGCAGAACGUUGGAUAGUUUAGAUUCCCCUCCAUACCUUCACGCAGUAAACCACAGCAAAACUAGUAAUUGAACACAUCCAUAUCAUUUGUUACGCCUUGAUACCAGCUGUCCCCUUAGCACCAGCUGCGCCACCCGGGAGAGUCGCUAAGCAGUUACAUCACCCAGACCAUCUUUGUGUCGUUCAUCGUAGCUGGCAUUAUGGCAAUGGUAUGCAGAGCUAGCUGUUUCUGUGAGGCUACCAAGGAUUGUUAUUCGAGAGCGUCAAAAUCCUUUUGUUUAUCUCUCUGAGGAGGAGUUCAUCAGAAGGUAUAGGCUGUCCAAGGAAUACAUCCAUGAACUUCUUGAACGAGUUAAGCCACAUAUGCCGAGAGUUAAAGAUGGACGACGCAAGAAAUUCUGAUGCUACUAUAGUGUGUGGUCUACAAGAUAUUUUGGUUAAGUUAGCUUAAGUAAAGUAAAGUAAGGUUAGACUAAAGCUAUUUGUGUUGACCGAAAUUCUAAACCUUGGAUUUUGGUAUUUGUUUAGAACUGUAUUGGGUAUUUAUUAAAUAGUUUCAUAGCUUGA
Long non-coding RNA from Homarus americanus (American lobster), 1050 nucleotides. RefSeq lists it as uncharacterized. NCBI's taxonomy places the organism in Eukaryota, Metazoa, Arthropoda, Malacostraca, Decapoda, Nephropidae. The transcript has 7 exons. The record is from RefSeq and is a predicted model, not a curated record.